Molecule: long non-coding RNA, 1055 nt
Organism: Eurytemora carolleeae
Lineage: Eukaryota; Metazoa; Arthropoda; Copepoda; Calanoida; Temoridae
Exons: 3
Source: RefSeq, a predicted model, not a curated record
ACGGAUACGGAGGGAUUGCAUGUGAGCGAGUAACUCCUCUUACUGGUAGAACUGCUAAACAAUGGUUGGGCACAAUGUCCGGAGUUUUAGUAGCAGGAUUUUGUGUGUUUGUGCUCCUGGCUGUUGUUAAAAAAGAUGAAAAAUUUAAAAAAGAAAUUUUGGAUCCAACUAAAAAGAUGCUAUUCCAUAGCUAGUAAAUCUCAAUUUUUAUCAAUUCCCUAGUAUUUUUUAAGUGACUUGUAAUCUAAUUUGCUAAAACUUAUAUUUCUAUAACUUCCUUGUCAUUUCAAGAAAGAUUUCAUCAGCAGAGACAAGGAAGAAAGAUGACAAUUUCCAUAUAAUAACUCAUUAAGAAGAUUCACUUAAAGUCGUGUAGAUAAUCACUGAAAAUAAGUUUGUAACACUGCAGAGUAAAUAUACCUCACUUGUUUAUAGCUGAAUUAGUAAAUUUCAAUCACAGUCUGUAUUUAACCAUAUUUAUUGUGAUUUAGUUAAUAUUCUGUAUAACAGUAUGUAAUUAUGUAUUAAAGAACUCAUAGGAAUUCUAGCAAAAUAUAUGUGUAACUACAGGGUUACCCACAAAGGAAUAUGAUAAGCCUAAAAAGACGACCCAAAACUUUGAAUAUGACCAUCUGAAUUGAACUAUCUUUAUUAAAGUCUUUUUAUUGAUUAACUUAAAAGGGUUAGGAGAUAAAAAAGCUUCUUUUAAAAUGUAGAAAAGCAUGGGUGUAAGAAAAAAACUCAAAAAAUUCUGAGUAGUUGUCUCUGCAGUCUAAUUCUUUGUGGGUUACCUUUCCUACAAAAAAAAUAAAUGUUGUUUUCAUUUCUUUAAACAGAAAUCUAAAGAUUUCGCGAAUUUUUUCUGUUUUCUUCAAAAUGUUAAGAAUCGACAUUUUUAUGAUAUUAAUUCUUCUGGAACUGUAGUUUAAAGUGAGCCUCUAUGCAAAGAUAGCAAUACCCGUCUUACAACGGUAUCCUUGAAACCUUAAUCUGAUCAAAAAUGUGGAAAAUCCCGUUGUUUGCCUGACUCGUAAAGAAUAAAUUUUGAUAACUUG